This 30-nucleotide small RNA is filed under the name Bombyx mori (domestic silkworm). Its description in RNAcentral is "ovarian small RNA-15497". The record is from RNAcentral. Lineage: Eukaryota; Metazoa; Arthropoda; Insecta; Lepidoptera; Bombycidae.
GACCGCCUCGACGGUACGGAGGCCGGCCGA